RNAcentral lists this unclassified non-coding RNA (284 nucleotides) under uncultured fungus. Its description in RNAcentral is "partial contains small subunit ribosomal RNA, internal transcribed spacer 1, and 5.8S ribosomal RNA". The stretch from base 1 to 73 matches the Rfam family "Eukaryotic small subunit ribosomal RNA", at positions 1759 to 1831 of the family's 1831-position model. Lineage: Eukaryota; Fungi. The record is from RNAcentral.
GCAAACUUGGUCAUUUAGAGGAAGUAAAAGUCGUAACAAGGUCUCCGUUGGUGAACCAGCGGAGGGAUCAUUACUGAGGAAUCUUAUUCCUUAAACCCCUGUUAUCUUUACCUGUCCUGUUGCUUUGGCAGGCGGUCCCAGGGCGGGACCGGUGGCCUUUUUGGUGCCUGCCAGAGGAAUUUUUUUCAAACUAUUUGAUUUAAACUUGAAUCAGAGUUUUAUACAAAUGAAUCAAAACUUUCAACAACGGAUCUCUUGGUUCUGGCAUCGAUGAAGAACGCAGC